CUCUUUUUUAUUCCAUCAAAACACGAUCCAUCAAGCAAAUCCAACAUUCGUUUAUUCAUCACCGAGUCACCACCGAUGCCAUUACCCCCAUUGCUCGAUGCCAUCACCGUCGCCAACAAGUGCUUCGUCGUGCCGCGUGAGACUUCCCAUCUGUUUCACCACUGACGCGCCUGCACUUUGCCGCCGAAUCAUCAAUCAACCGGUUAGUAUUUGGGUUUGAUUUUUCGAAUUGAACCACAAUCAGUUUAUUUUUCAUUACUUUUAUGUUGAAGCAUGUCUUUUUCUUUCUGGGUUUGAAUUUUUUUUUUUUUUUGGCUGCUGUUGUUGUGGGUAGCUAUUAAUUUCGUCAGUACUUUUUAGUUGGCUUCAUGAGUUGUUUUUUUAUUUUUACUUACAAUUAAAUCUUGUUUAAAUCUGAGCAAAUAGACUAAUUUUGCUUUUGAGAAAAUUAAUUAAAUAGUUAAACAAGUAAUUAAAAAAUUAAUUAGUUGAUGCGAUUAUACGGAGAAGAGUGAAGGGAGUAGAGAUGGAGAACAGGGAAUUGGAGGGGAUUUGUAUGUAUAGUUGGAUGGUAGGAUUUGGAACGGUGUCGUCUACCUGUACAAAUCUAAGAUAUUCCAUGAUGUUUAGGAAUCAAAAUUUAAUCUAAACUUGCAUAUGAGUGUGGAAAUUUUACUGCAAAGUACUGAUUAACGUUCUCAUGUUUUGAAUUGAUAGAUCACUUAGACUUUUAGUUUUCUAGCAUUUUGGACUAUGGUAUUCUCAUAUGCUUGUCUCGUUGACAUUAUUCCCAGGUUUUUUUGGUUUUGGACUUGCAUAGAGGCUUAUUAUAUGCUUUUUGGUUUUGAAUUUGCACAAAGGCUUUCUCAUAGCUUAUUGGUUUUGGAUUUGCACAAAAGCUUUUCUCAUAGCUUUUUUUUUUUUUUUUGAUAAGAGAGUGAAUCUUUCAUUCAAAAUAGGAAAGUACAUCAGGAGGAAAGUUGUCCUUCCAUGUGACAGAUUCGGAGCUUCUCAAAGCUCUUUCAGCAAGAGAUUGAGCACAACUGUUACAACAUCUUGAUACAUGUUGAAUUGUUAUCGGUUGGAACUUUUCCAUGUAGCUUUGAAUGUCUGAAAUAGCCCACAAAAUCUCCUUCCUGCUACUGGUUAUAUUGUUGGCUAAGUUGACCACUUCCAUACAAUCUGUUUCAAUAAUCACUGCCGAUAAUCCUGCUUCUAUUGCCAUUUCCAUCCCCCGUUUUACAGCCUCAGCUUCUGCUGCUGAAACAUUCCCUUGGGGCUUUGUGUUUUUUACUGCUACUGUCGCUACAACUUGGCCUUGUGAAUUUCUAAUAACAACCCUGAUUCCUGUAAGCUGUGCCCCUGCCUGAACAGCUGCAUCCACAUUGACCUUGUAAUACCCGAUAGGUGGAGGACACCAUUGUUUUUGCUUGCUAACACCAUCUCUUCUGUUUAUCUGCUCCGUUUCAUGCACUCUUUGAUAAGCCUCUAUAGUAGCUUUUGCCUUUGCAAUUAAUGUUACCGGCUUAAUUUUCUGCCUUCGAAUAUAAACUUGUUCCUAGCAUGCCAUAUUUCCUUCCAGACCGUUACCACAAACUCCACCUCUCUCUUGGGCAUCUAUCUCAACAGGCUCAGUAUAAGGCUUAGAAUAUCUUCUCUCACCAUUCCCUGCAAUUCAGAAUCUCCAUAAUUGUAUUUCCAGACCUUCCUAGCCACCUUACACUCCAUAAGUGCAUGAAAGACAUCCUCUACUCCUGUUUUACGGAUUUGGCAUGUUGGCUCCUGUUGAACUUGUUGGUACUUCAGCAUACUUGAGCUUGAGAGCUAAUUGGUAACCACUUCGUACUGUGUAUAUUCCUUUUUUGUCAUAGUGCCAUAACCAUUCAUCAUUCUUAGGCCAUCUUGGUAGGGGAAUUCUCUUAAUCAUCUCUGAAUCCUCUUUUGCUAAGUGCUUCUCAAUCAAACUAUUCUUCCAUUGGUGAUCUGCGCCUAUUAAGUCUACAACUUUGGUAUUUGCUGGUACAGAUGGAGCAAAAAUUGGCCUAAAAGUAGUCGGCCUUGGUAUCCGGUUGCUGGCCAUAACACAAAUUUUAUCUCCUCUUCCAACUCUCCAUCUUAUCCCCUGCUGCAGAAUUUCUCUACCUCACAAAAUGCUUCUCCAAAUAAAGGAUGGAUUAGAACCAACUUUGGCUUCCAUAAAAUCAGUUUGUCUGUAAUAUCUAGCUUUCAGCACUUUGGCCACUAGUGAAUCAGGGUAUUGUAAUAAUCUCCAGCCUUGCUUUGCAACGAAUGCCUGGUUGAAGCUUGAGAGAUCUUUAAAACCUAUCCCCUCUCUGAUUUUAGCCUUACUAAUCUUCUCCCAUUUUGCCCAGUGAAUACCUUUCUUGUCAUUUGUUGAGCCCCACCAGAAUCUCGCAAUUGCUCUCUGAAUGUCAUUGCAAAUAGCCAAAGGUAUUUUGAAGACACUCAUGGCAUAUGCAGGGACUGCCUGAGCUACAGCCUUGAUCAAAACCUCUUUUCCACCACUGGAGAAGAAUUUAUGCUGCCAAUUCGAUAAUUUGCUCAACAGUUUGAGCUUAAUAUCAUUGAAAAAGCUGGUCCUCUUUCUUCCCACCAUUGAAGGCAGUCCCAAGUACUUCUCAUGUCUUGAGACCACAUUCAGCUGAAAAAUGUCCUUUAUUGCUGCUAUUUGUCCCUGUGGGAUUUUACCGCUGAAAAACAUUAAUGACUUGUCAUAAUUGAAGAGCUGGCUAGAGGCCGAAGUAUAGUACUCGAAAAUUGCUUUCUCAUAGCUUUUUGGUUUUGGAUUUGCACAAAGGCUUUUCUCAUAGCUCUUUGGCUUUGGACUUGUACAGAGGCUUAUAUGCUUUUCUCAUUGACAUUUAGAUCCAAUUUCUAAUUCUUUUUGGAUUUACAGUGUUCUGAAAAUCAUACCUUUUCCCACAAUAUUGAUGCUGCAAAUCAAUCUGAAAGUGCAUGCUUAAGUAAUUAACAAUAGCUUUUUUUUUUAAUAUCAUGAAAUUAUUUUAAUAUCAAUACUCAGUGUGAAAAUGCAUGCUUGAGUAAUUGAAAAAAAUAUGUUUUUCUUUUUAUUUGUUGUUUUAGAUAUGGACAUGAGAAUAGAAAUUUUUUUCGUCAAAUGGCAAACGAAAUUAAGGUUCAUGUUCAUUGUGAUGUUUUUUCUCCAUGUUUACUUUAUCUGCAUUAAGUGAUGCAGAUAGUUGGCAAUAUGGUUCAAGCUGUAGCAACUGUGUAAUGAUCAUCCGUGUUAUUGAUCCAAAUAUAUUCAUAAUGAUGUAGUAAGGGAUUUACUUUUGUUUAUGACAUUGCAAACUUGAUCAAACUUGUUAUUGAUCCAAAUAUAUUCAUAAUGAUCCAAAUAUAUUCAUAAAGGUCCAGCAUCAUCAGCUCUUUCUUUUCAACCCACUCAUGUUGCCAACCCCCUACCGGAUCGGCGGAAACCGAAACCAACCUACACCGGCUACUUUAACUCAACUUUUUGGUCAAAUCACAGCUAUUUGAGACAAACCACCACCAGCAUCACACUCACCACCAUCAAAUCUUCCAGAUCCACUUAUCCUAGGCCAAUUUUUCAACCACCGUCGCCGGCAGCACCAACUUUUGCCUAUUUAUAAUUUUGCCCCUUUACUUUUCUAUGCUUAUACUAUUGCCUAUAAUUUUCUGUUCUUUAAAAAAAACCCAAAAACCAAACAAACUUAUAAAAAAAAUAAAUUAGAAUUUACUAGGAAUUAUAAUAUUUGGGUCAAUUUAGAAUUUAGUAUUUUAUUAGGAUUUAUCUUAUUUUAUUAAGCUUACUUGAGUCAUAUUUAUAAUUCUAAUCUAAUUCGAAUUUCAGAUUAUUUCUCUUAUUUGAGAAAGAUAAGGAUUAGGUUAGCUACUAUUAUAUAUAUAGGCUUGUUAUUCUAAAUUUUUGAUAACAGACACAAGUUUCUCAUUAAUAAUAUUCAGCUUUUUCUCAAUUGAAACGUCUUCUCUUUGGUGAGAGUCUAUUUCUUAAGUUUUCAAGACGUAUGCUAGAACGAAAUCUUGUAUCGCUUCCGCCUUGCGUUAAAGCAUCAUCUAAUCAUAGGGUCUUGUUAUAGUUGUUUGCAUUGGAAGGCUCAUCUAUCACCAGCAAAUCUAUUUAUCCGGCAACAUUGCCACCAUUACAUUGAUCGGAGAAUUUUGAAUACGUUGAUAGUUUUUGUUUUUCUGUUCACUCAUUUCUAUUUCUUAGUGAUGAUACCGUCAUUGUUGUCAUUGAUGGUGCAAUAAUUUUUAGCAAUAUUAUUUUUUUUUCAUUUGAUUUACAAAACUUAAAUAUUAAAUAUAAUACUCAAUUUUAGUCUCAUACACUUAAAAAUAACUAAUAUUCAAGUUCAUGGAUGGAUAUUGAAUAAAUCAAAUCCGGAGUAUUUUAGAUGGAUAUUAUCCAAUCUAUUUGGAUCAGAUACUUACACAUCCAACUUGAAUGGAUUUGUUUGCUCUUUCUAGCUGUUAACUCGAUUAAUAAUUCUAUUGGGUUUGGUUUUAAUACUCCUAAUAUGAUAACUCAUUCAUGACACAAUUAAUUAUAUUAAUUGACUUCUAUUUUAAUUGAUAGAUAUGUGUUGAAUUGCCAUCUCUAUUGUUAUCCAUGUGUGAUGUUAGCAAGAAAGAAGAAAGAAUAGAAAAUACUUAUUUUUAGUUUAUUUUCUAAAGAAAUAUUUAAAUUAUUUUCAAAUAGAGUAAUUGUUUAGAAUUUUUUUACCCUUCUCUCAGAUAAGUUAAUGACUAUUUAAACAAUUGGGGUGGAGUAACAAAUACCAAUUUAUUUAAGUGUGCAAUUAAAUUAUUAUUAUUUAUUUAAGGACAAAAACUCAUUGUUAAAAAAAAGAUUUUACAAGUUCAUAAACUAACAUUUUAUUAUUAUUAUUAUUAUUAUUAUUAUUAUUAUUAUUAUUAUUAGUAAAUUAACAUUUUUUUACUAUAUAAUUAAAUAAUUGAUAGUAUGUUUAAUAAAUAUUAUGUUACAAAAAAAAUUAACUACAUAGAAUAUGAAAUUAAAUUUAUUUUUGUAUUUUGUAUAUUUCAUCUACUUGAGAUAAUAAAAUCUCUUGUGUUGAAAAAAAAAAAUUAUGGGUUUUGAACUUUGCUCACAUAGGUGAGAGGAAAUUAGUUGCCAUUAUAUUAAAUUAAAAAAAAAUCAUAUUUAUACUUAUCAUUAAUUAUGGUUAGUAAAUAAUAUACAUAGUUUAACUAUAUAAUAAAGUAGUUAAUUUAUUAAUUUAAAUAGAUAUUAAUAAAUGUAAGAAUAAGUCAUUUAAUUGAAAACCUAGUGUAAUAGAGUUUAAAAAAAGAGAGAAUAUUAUGGAUUUAUAUGUCAUAAUUUUUAAUUUUUUAUUUUUUAUUAUUUUACAUGAACAAUAAGGGUCUUUGAUGUUAAUAACCCAAUAAUCACAUCUCAGCCACUAUGCAAUUCUUACGUUAAAUCCAACGGUAGAUUUUAAAAAGAUAAAAAAUGGGGUACCAAACCCCAUACCAGCAUAUGUGGAAUACAUGUCAAAGCCAAAUUGGAAACUUUAACAUGAUGGUAAUGCGGUUACUUUAUAAUUGAAAGUUGAGUAAAAUAUACUGGUUUUGUCUGGAAUGCGCUUGGUGACCGCGAUCACCUGACUAAAAUUUCUCAGGAAAAUAAUUGUUAAUUGUCUAAUUUGUCUAUAUAUUGUUAAUAAAAUUAUAAAUAUACCCUCAUUGCCCAAUUCCUCUAUUUAAAUUUUUAUCAAAUUCUCUCUUCAAGCCAAAUAAAUUUAAUCCAUUAUCAAUUUUUAUGUCUAUUGGAUAUGUUAUUUAAUACAAUUAAGAUAAGAUUUUUGUAAUUAUUAUUGUAACCAUCCUUUUUUUAUUUUGUUGAUUAUACAAGUUUAAAUGAUUAACAUGUAGAGAAUUAUUAUUCUUAUGGCAUUAAUAAAUAAUUUUAUUUAUUUUCAUUUUUGAGUAAUUGAUUAAAUUUAUUUGGCUUGAAGAGGGAAUUUGAUAAAAAAUUAAAUAGAGGAAUUGGGUAAUGAGAGUAUAUUUAUAAUUUUAUUAACAAUAUAUGGAUAAAUUGGACAAUUAACAAUUAUUUUUUUAUGUGCUAGAAGGGUAUAACGGUAAUUAUAUAUUAAAAUUAUUAUUUCUGUUAAAAGUAACUGUUUCCAUUAAUAAAUGGGGGUGUAAAUGUCUAUUUUGAAAUAUUAGGAGUUUUUAUUCCUUUAUCUAAAUAUUGAGGAUGUGUUUGUCCUUUUUCCUUUUAUAUUUUGGGCGGAUUGCUAACUUGCUAGUGAUAAUGUCAGCAUGACCUAUCAAUUUUACCUAUUUACGGAAUCUACCUUUUAUGACUUGUUUAAGCUAUUGUUUUUUUUCCCUCCUUUUUUUAAAGUUAAGGCCAACUUCUACUAUGUUAAAAUUUAGUUGUGGUUGAAUUUAUGCAAAAUAUAAUAAGAAUUAAGGCUGUUAUAUAAGUGUAAAUUUUGAAGGUAAAUCCUCUUUAUUUAUAAUGUUUUGAUUUUUAUGUCAUUGAAUUUGUUCUAUAAAUUGAAUUUUUAGACCAAUGAAAUACAAUUAUUCCCUCCCAUUCGUCUUUUUUCCAAAACUGCAUCCAUCAUAAAGAACAAUAUAACUUCACGGCAUCAAAAUCCUUAUUAAAUGUAAAAAUUAGAUCCUAAUAGGAAUUUAUUGGUGUGAUUCAUUUUAGAGGUGGACAUGGGUUGGUUUGGAUUGAGUUUAAAUCAACCCAAUCCAUAAUCAUAAAAAUUUGGAUCCAACCUAAACCAACUCAAAUAUUUUUAACUCAAUCAAAACCAAAUUAUUUAGGCUUGCUUUGAAUUUUAUAAUCAAAAUUUUUUUAUUUUGAUAAAUUUAAUUAUACAAAAUUAUAAUAAUUACUAAUUAUUAUUAAUUAUUAAAUUAAUAUUAAAAUAUAAAAAAAAUAUUGUGGAUAAAAAAUUAAAAGAAAGAAUUAAAUUAAACUCCAAUAAUAAACUUCCACGACAUGACAUAAACAAGCAAAUUAAAAGAAAUAAAAGAAAAUUCGAUGAUCAUUUCCAUCUACAGUACUUUAAUCAAAAGAUUCCAUGAUUAAUUGAAUUCACUCCUUCACCAAUAAAUAAAUAACCAAAAAAGAAAAAUUAUGAUGUUUGAUCCAAACUCUGUUGUUAUAUUUGAUAAUCAUAAGAAUAACAUCAAUUCCAAGCCAUCGCCUCUGUUAUUAUAUUUGAUCCAAACUCUACAUUAAAUAAAAAUAAAUUAAUUAAAAAAAGACUAGUGAUAAACAAAUAUAUAAAUUUUUUUAACUUGUUAUGAUAAACAAUUACUUGACAUCAUCGCUUCAUAAAACUCAAGCUCCUCCAUUGUUGGUUCAUCUUGUAAUGGGACAAAAAUGUUACGUAACCAAUUUUGUGAGCAUAUCAAAGCUUCCACCAUCUUCGGACUUAAAGAACCACGAAAUGAAUCAAUGAUGCGUCCUCCAAUACUAAACACAGAUUCUAAAGCUAUUGUAGAUAUUGAAAUUGCAAACACAUCCUUUGUAAUAUGUGAAAGAACUCAAUAUUUUAUUGAGUUCAUUUUCCACCAUGCCAAAAUCUCAAAGUCAUCAUCAUCAACAUGUUCACAUGGCUCCAACAAAUACCUCUCCACUUCAUUUUUUUAUCUCAACACAAUCAUCUUUUCCUAUUCUUUGUUUGAACUUUGCAACACUUGAAAGUUUAGAAAACCAAAACUUAUGACGACUAAUUCACCUUAAAUUCUAAAGGAAAAAAGGUUGUUUAGGAACCAAAACUCAAAACUUGUAAAAGCAAUUUUAGCAAAGAAAAUCAUAAUAAAAAAAUGAAAGAAAGAAAAAAAAAAACAAGUGCCAGAAUCUAAGUAAUUAAAUUUGAUAAUUCCAAGCAUACCCAUUAAGCAGAAUCUAAGUAAUUGAAAAUAUGUAAAACAAAUUUUGGGCCACCAGAAUAGAAUCCAAGCAUUAGAGGUCCACCACAACAGUAACAGAAGAAAAAAAAAACUGAAGCAGAACCUCACCUUCAAUCAUUAGGAAGAUUGCAAUCGAAGUGGGGGCUUUAGGAAUUGAUGACAAUGAGAGAUCCACAACGUCACUUUUGUUGACAGACAUUGUAGAAGAUGGAGAGAGAUCAAAGAGAUUCAAAGGUUUGUUUAUUUUGUUUAAUUCAUUUUGUUUAGUUUUGGAAAUUUAUUCUUGACUCAUGGGUAAUUCAUACCCAAACUAUUAUGAAAGGAUUAUAUACGUAAAAAUUUAAAUUUAACCCAUUUUCAUGAUUUACUCAACCCAAAUCAUUUUAUUUGGUUUAAGUUUGGGUAAACCCAUGGAUUGUAGGUUAUGCCCACCCCUAAAUUUAUUUAUUGCCCCCAAGGAACACAAAGUUGGUACCCAACACUUGCUCUUUGAAAUCCAAAUUUCGAGCUUACCUUCAAUCACACCUUUGCCACAUCAAUGGUAGCAUUCUUAGCUUAGCAGGCUUUGCUCAUCAUUUUUAUUUCUUCAAUUAGCUGCUUUUUUUUUUUACUCGUUUUCACAAUUAC
Molecule: long non-coding RNA, 8559 nt
Filed under: Citrus maxima (pomelo)
Lineage: Eukaryota; Viridiplantae; Streptophyta; Magnoliopsida; Sapindales; Rutaceae
Description: long non-coding RNA (CMAX_LNC002534)
Source: RNAcentral